AGUCAACCUACCCUAUGGACGGGAAUAACCUCGGGAAACUGAGUAUAAUGCCCGAUAGAACACUAUACCUGGAAUGGUUUGUGUUCCAAAUGAUUUAUCGCCGUAGGAUGGGACUGCGGCCUAUCAGUUUGUUGGUGAGGUAAUGGCCCACCAAGACUAUUACAGGUACGGGCUCUGAGAGGAGUAGCCCGGAGAUGGGUACUGAGACACGGACCCAGGCCCUAUGGGGCGCAGCAGGCGAGAAAACUUUGCAAUGUGCGAAAGCACGACAAGGUUAAUCCGAGUGGUUUGUGCUAAACGAACCUUUUGACAGUCCUAGAAACACUGUUGAAUAAGGGGUGGGCAAGUUCUGGUGUCAGCCGCCGCGGUAAAACCAGCACCUCAAGUGGUCAGGAUGAUUAUUGGGCCUAAAGCAUCCGUAGCCGGCUCUAUAAGUUUUCGGUUAAAUCUGUACGCUCAACGUACAGGCUGCCGGGAAUACUGCAGAGCUAGGGAGUGGGAGAGGUAGACGGUACUCGGUAGGAAGGGGUAAAAUCCUUUGAUCUAUUGAUGACCACCUGUGGCGAAGGCGGUCUACCAGAACACGUCCGACGGUGAGGGAUGAAAGCUGGGGGAGCAAACCGGAUUAGAUACCCGGGUAGUCCCAGCUGUAAACUAUGCAAACUCAGUGAUGCAUUGGCUUGUGGCCAAUGCAGUGCUGCAGGGAAGCCGUUAAGUUUGCCGCCUGGGAAGUACGUACGCAAGUAUGAAACUUAAAGGAAUUGGCGGGGGAGCACCACAAGGGGUGAAGCCUGCGGUUC
RNAcentral lists this ribosomal RNA (800 nucleotides) under uncultured archaeon. Its description in RNAcentral is "bacterial SSU rRNA". It matches the Rfam family "Archaeal small subunit ribosomal RNA", at positions 102 to 903 of the family's 1478-position model. The record is from RNAcentral.